Molecule: small RNA, 132 nt
Filed under: Escherichia coli
Lineage: Bacteria; Pseudomonadati; Pseudomonadota; Gammaproteobacteria; Enterobacterales; Enterobacteriaceae
Description: RtT sRNA
Rfam family: RtT RNA
About the family: This family represents a bacterial cis-regulatory element known as RtT RNA. The exact function of RtT is unknown although it is thought that it may be involved in changing the cellular response in relation to amino acid starvation.
Source: RNAcentral
AUUCUGCCCAUGCGGGGAAGGAUGAGAAGCUUCGACCAAGGUUCGACUCGAGCGCCAGCGAGAGAGCGUUGCCGCAGGCAACGACCCGUAGGGCGAAGCGCGCAGCGCUGAGUAAUCCUUCCCCCACAACCA